Theobroma umbraticum is the source of this 202-nucleotide long non-coding RNA. RefSeq lists it as uncharacterized. The record is from RefSeq and is a predicted model, not a curated record. Lineage: Eukaryota; Viridiplantae; Streptophyta; Magnoliopsida; Malvales; Malvaceae.
GUUCACUCUCAAGUAUCGAACAUCGUUAACAAUUUAGAGAAGACGUUGUUGCAGAAAAUCCUUGAUUGGGAGGUCAAAGUAAUCGAUACAGCAAAAAGGAACAGAUCUAAGAAACAUUUGAGGGGAUUGAUUCAUCUGUUCCAUAAUGGACAUUGAGGGGUUCAAGAGAUGACACGGGAAAUUGAUGAAAAAGGCUCAUUUG